UCGGAGCGAUGAAGCUUUCUUCGGAAAGUGGAUUAGCGGCGGACGGGUGAGUAACACGUGAGCAACCUGCCUUAUAGAGGGGGAUAGCCUUCCGAAAGGAAGAUUAAUACCGCAUAACAUGUAUUGAUCGCAUGAUCGAUACAUCAAAGUUUUUCGCUAUAAGAUGGGCUCGCGGAGCAUUAGCUAGUUGGUAGUGUAAUGGACUACCAAGGCGACGAUGCUUAGCCGACCUGAGAGGGUGAUUGGCCACAUUGGGACUGAGACACGGCCCAGACUCCUACGGGAGGCAGCUGUGGGGAAUAUUGCGCAAUGGACGAAAGUCUGACGCAGCAACGCCGCGUGAGUGAUGAAGGCCUUCGGGUUGUAAAACUCUGUCUUCGGGGACGAUAAUGACGGUACCCGAGGAGGAAGCCACGGCUAACUACGUGCCAGCAGCCGCGGUAAUACGUAGGUGGCAAGCGUUGUCCGGAUUUACUGGGCGUAAAGGGUGUCUAGGCGGAAAGAUAAGUCAGAUGUGAAAUCUCGGGGCUCAACCCCGAAACUGCAUUUGAAACUGUCUAUCUAGAGUGCAGGAGAGGAGAGUGGAAUUCCUAGUGUAACGGUGAAAUGUGUAGAUAUUAGGAAGAACACCAGUGGUGAAGGCGACUCUCUGGACUGUAACUGACGCUGAAGCACGAAAGCAUGGGGAGCAAACAGGAUUAGAUACCCUGGUAGUCCAUGCCGUAAACGAUGAGAACUAGGUGUCGGGGGUCGAACCUCGGUGCCGCAGUUAACACAUUAAGUUCUCCGCCUGGGGAGUACGGUCGCAAGAUUAAAACUCAAAGGAAUUGACGGGGGCCCGCACAGUAGCGGAGCGUGUGGUUU
RNAcentral lists this ribosomal RNA (864 nucleotides) under uncultured bacterium. Its description in RNAcentral is "bacterial SSU rRNA". It matches the Rfam family "Bacterial small subunit ribosomal RNA", at positions 62 to 947 of the family's 1533-position model. The record is from RNAcentral.